CUACGGGUGGCAGCAGUCGAGAAUCUUCGGCAAUGGACGCAAGUCUGACUGAGCGACGCCGCGUGCGGGAUGAAGGCCUUCGGGUUGUAAACCGCUGUCAGUGGGGAGGAAAUCCUAGGGGGUUAUCCCUCUAGGUUGACCUAGCUUCAGAGGAAGUGCGGGCUAAGUUCGUGCCAGCAGCCGCGGUAAGACGAACCGCACGAACGCUAUUCGGAAUCACUGGGCUUAAAGGGUGCGUAGGCGGCCGUGCAAGUUGGGUGUGAAAUCCCUCGGCUUAACCGAGGAACUGCGCUCAAAACUGCAUGGCUCGAGGGAGACAGAGGUGAGCGGAACUUAGGGUGGAGCGGUGAAAUGCGUUGAUAUCCUAAGGAACACCAGUUGCGAAAGCGGCUCACUGGGUCUCUUCUGACGCUGAGGCACGAAAGCCAGGGGAGCGAAGAGGAUUAGAUACCCGUGUAGUC
Molecule: ribosomal RNA, 461 nt
Filed under: uncultured bacterium
Lineage: Bacteria
Description: partial 16S ribosomal RNA
Rfam family: Bacterial small subunit ribosomal RNA
Source: RNAcentral